UGAACGCUGGCGGCAGGCCUAACACAUGCAAGUCGAGCGGUAGCACAGAGAGCUUGCUCUCGGGUGACGAGCGGCGGACGGGUGAGUAAUGUCUGGGAAACUGCCUGAUGGAGGGGGAUAACUACUGGAAACGGUAGCUAAUACCGCAUAACGUCGCAAGACCAAAGUGGGGGACCUUUCGGGCCUCAUGCCAUCAGAUGUGCCCAGAUGGGAUUAGCUAGUAGGUGGGGUAAUGGCUCACCUAGGCGACGAUCCCUAGCUGGUCUGAGAGGAUGACCAGCCACACUGGAACUGAGACACGGUCCAGACUCCUACGGGAGGCAGCAGUGGGGAAUAUUGCACAAUGGGCGCAAGCCUGAUGCAGCCAUGCCGCGUGUAUGAAGAAGGCCUUCGGGUUGUAAAGUACUUUCAGCGAGGAGGAAGGCGUUAAGGUUAAUAACCUUGGCGAUUGACGUUACUCGCAGAAGAAGCACCGGCUAACUCCGUGCCAGCAGCCGCGGUAAUACGGAGGGUGCAAGCGUUAAUCGGAAUUACUGGGCGUAAAGCGCACGCAGGCGGUCUGUCAAGUCGGAUGUGAAAUCCCCGGGCUCAACCUGGGAACUGCAUUCGAAACUGGCAGGCUAGAGUCUUGUAGAGGGGGGUAGAAUUCCAGGUGUAGCGGUGAAAUGCGUAGAGAUCUGGAGGAAUACCGGUGGCGAAGGCGGCCCCCUGGACAAAGACUGACGCUCAGGUGCGAAAGCGUGGGGAGCAAACAGGAUUAGAUACCCUGGUAGUCCACGCCGUAAACGAUGUCGACUUGGAGGUUGUGCCCUUGAGGCGUGGCUUCCGGAGCUAACGCGUUAAGUCGACCGCCUGGGGAGUACGGCCGCAAGGUUAAAACUCAAAUGAAUUGACGGGGGCCCGCACAAGCGGUGGAGCAUGUGGUUUAAUUCGAUGCAACGCGAAGAACCUUACCUACUCUUGACAUCCAGAGAACUUAGCAGAGAUGCUUUGGUGCCUUCGGGAACUCUGAGACAGGUGCUGCAUGGCUGUCGUCAGCUCGUGUUGUGAAAUGUUGGGUUAAGUCCCGCAACGAGCGCAACCCUUAUCCUUUGUUGCCAGCGGUCCGGCCGGGAACUCAAAGGAGACUGCCAGUGAUAAACUGGAGGAAGGUGGGGAUGACGUCAAGUCAUCAUGGCCCUUACGAGUAGGGCUACACACGUGCUACAAUGGCAUAUACAAAGAGAAGCGACCUCGCGAGAGCAAGCGGACCUCAUAAAGUAUGUCGUAGUCCGGAUUGGAGUCUGCAACUCGACUCCAUGAAGUCGGAAUCGCUAGUAAUCGUAGAUCAGAAUGCUACGGUGAAUACGUUCCCGGGCCUUGUACACACCGCCCGUCACACCAUGGGAGUGGGUUGCAAAAGAAGUAGGUAGCUUAACCCUUCGGGAGGGCGCUUACCACUUUGUGAUUCAUGACUGGGGUGA
This 1463-nucleotide ribosomal RNA is filed under the name Klebsiella aerogenes. RNAcentral describes it as "bacterial SSU rRNA". It matches the Rfam family "Bacterial small subunit ribosomal RNA". The record is from RNAcentral. Lineage: Bacteria; Pseudomonadati; Pseudomonadota; Gammaproteobacteria; Enterobacterales; Enterobacteriaceae.